AGACGAGGCCAAAUUCAUCCGUACCUAUAACGACUUUGUGGACUACCGGAGUGACCCCUCCAAGCGGAAUGACAUUGAGAGGGAGCUGGCUGAGGCAAAGAUCCAUCAUGUGAACAUGCUAGAUGUCCUCUUUGAGCUGGUGCUGUUUGGGAUGAUGACAGCUCAGAAGUCCCUGAUGGUGCACCCUGGUGGGUUCGUGGAGCGUCUGUACGCUCUCCUGUACUCCUUCCUGCCCACUGCUGCCAACAUGGAGCCAGAGGCUGAUAGAUACCUGCUGCUGCUCAAUGUAAGAGUCAAGAGGUUACUUCCUGUUUACUUCCAUAUUCAUGGUUAACCAGGUCCCAAUGCCAUUUUAGGGGGAGUAUUUCUAAUUGUCUCUCUCUCCUCUUGAUAAGCUAGUAACUCAGGACCAUUUUCUAUGUGUUGUGUGGUGUUCUCUUCAGGGCGGGCUGAUGGCUCUCCUAGAUGACAUGUUUGGCCAGCAGCUGGCCUGGUACUUUAACCCAGAGUCUCUGGUCACUGAGCUCUCCAGCCUCCUGGAGUACCACUUGGAGAACCUCAUGGCCAGCAUGUAGUCCUACUGCAGGGACCAUACUCCUUUCUCCUUCUCUCUCUCUUUUGAAGGAAUUGAGGACUUGAAGUGCUUUGUUGAACCCUGAUUAGUUAACACCCAUUAAUUUAAUGUAUUCUCUUGUUUUCUCUCCCCACAGGAUUAUUGUGACACUUUG
Non-coding RNA from Oncorhynchus mykiss (rainbow trout), 728 nucleotides. NCBI's taxonomy places the organism in Eukaryota, Metazoa, Chordata, Actinopteri, Salmoniformes, Salmonidae. The record is from RefSeq and is a predicted model, not a curated record.